Mauremys reevesii (Reeves's turtle) is the source of this 361-nucleotide long non-coding RNA. RefSeq lists it as uncharacterized. NCBI's taxonomy places the organism in Eukaryota, Metazoa, Chordata, Testudines, Geoemydidae. The record is from RefSeq and is a predicted model, not a curated record. The transcript has 3 exons.
GCAGCCCAACAGUCUCCCCCCACCCGCAGUUUCUGUCCUUGGUCAGCGUAGCCUCCAGAGUUCAGAAGAUCCUCUGCAGAGUUUACCUCCCAGCCUGGGUGGAAGCAGGAAAAGUGACGGUGACUCUGGAUCCAGACACGGCUCAUCCCCAGCUCGCCCUGUCUGAGGAUCGGAGACAUGUGAGAUGGGGACACGCCCGGCAGGAUCUGCCCGACAAUCCUGAGCGAUUUGACACUGGAUCAGUCAUAACCCUGAGAGGGGGGAGGGGGAGCAGGAAGUUGGAACAGCCCGCCAACACAGACAGCCGAGGAGUGAUUUUGGUCUGUGUGUGCCAAGCUACCAGAGCCAGCAACAUGGAGAA